This is an RNA transcript of Drosophila willistoni, 1870 nucleotides long. RefSeq lists it as uncharacterized. The record is from RefSeq and is a predicted model, not a curated record. The transcript is spliced from 4 exons. NCBI's taxonomy places the organism in Eukaryota, Metazoa, Arthropoda, Insecta, Diptera, Drosophilidae.
GCCAAGGAAGUACCUUGCGACAAAGAAGCGUCAAUUUACCAAUUGCGAGCAUUGGUAAAAGCAGUCAUGGCACAGAAUCAGUCUGGAGAGACUGAUAGACCCGAAGAGCAGGUCAGCAGUCAGCCUAGCAGUGUCUGCAAAUGUGCUUGCCGGACAACUUGUGGAUAUUGGUCCGGAGCCUCUUAUUGAGCAGCGCGGCUUGGGAAACAUUAUGCAGCCAAGUACACCGGAUCAAGUGGGUGCUAAAAAAUUGCCGACGAUGUCUCGUGAGACCUCUGUAGGACCAGAAGCGAACGUGCAUGUUCGUGAAAGCGCACAAGCGAGCGAAACCGAUGAAUUGGCUUCGAUUCUUAGUAUAAUCGAAUUGUAUACAGCACGUAAAAACCUGGCGGAGCUAAAAACACGUGUUAUGGAGCUGGAGGAGAACUUAAGCGGACCGGAAUAUAAUUGCCGCAUGAAGUUGAAAGAUGUCGGAACUACUGUACCUAAAUUCUCUCGUGAUGGUGAUCUGCCCAUUCACGUAUGGAUUCGUGAGCUGGAGAAAGCGGCAAGAGUGCAUGUACUGAGUGAUGCCCAAUGUUGGUCAUUGGGCAACCGACUGCUGGAGGGAUCUGCUAAAGCAUACAUGACAUAUAAAAAGACUGCAACCUGGAACGAGCUGAAGGAUGUCCUUGAGAAAGUAUUUGGCCUUCAAAUGACAAACUACGAGAUUGCUAACCAAAUGAGAAAGCGCCCGAUUGGCAAAGGAAAGUCACUCUUGCAGUAUUUCAUCAUUCUACGAAAUAUUGCGCAGCAGGGCAAUUUUGAAGACACCGAUGUGGUUAAAUACAUUGUUGACGGACUACAAGAUCGACCCGGAUUGUCCGCACCGUUGUAUUAUUAAGGAAUAAUAAUAUUCUCUAAACGAAUUGCGAGAGAAGAUGAUGCGUUUUCAGACAGUUAAGCCACCAUCCAAAAACUACGUUCUUUAGGCUCGUCCGACUUCGUUCGCAGGCCAUUACGCCUGCUGCAAAGGAGAAGAUAUGCCCGGAGAGACCAAAAGAAAGUUGCUAUCGGUACUUCAAAGUGGGCCAUCAAUACCGGAAUUGUCCAAUGCGAACCCAGAUUGCCGCCAUGAGCGCUAGUGAAGACCCGGACACCAUUGAUGAUAAGUCAUUUAUUGAAUUAAUAAUUAUUGUAAUAACCCUAAUGUAAACAUGAAUGCAUCCCCGUUUCGAGAAUGGCUAACAGAGUUACAAACCGUUUGUGCAACGCUGUCAGAUACCGGGAAUACUACUGUUGGCAGUGAAUUUGGAUUAGGCGCGAUGCGUGAUUGCCGAGACAUCGUGCAUGAGCAUUACAUUGACUGAUUUUCAAUUAAUUACGGGUUGCCCAAAUAUAUGAUGAGAAUAUGUCUGACAGAUACAACACCAUUUCAUAGUAGUCCUAGAAGGUUAUCGUAUUAUGAAAGGGGAAUCGUUUGUAAAACAUGCGGAAAAUGGAUGGCAAUAUACGAAUGUGGGUUGAUUAUCGAGGUUUAAAUAAUUUUGAUCCUUGCGAUUUGUUAGUGAAGAGAGACCAAAUUGUCCCAAUAGAACCUUGUGAACCGAAUAUUACUUUUCAAGAAAGUUGCGUUAAACCGUGUGAGUCUGUUAGAGAUUUGACCAAGCUGUGUGCCAUUCAAGAUGGAAGUUGCGUUAAAUCAUGUAUAAACUAAGUGUGCUUGCUGCGUUGGAAAAACAGCAUACAUGUGGUACGGUGAGAACGAAACUCAUCUAGUCGGUGGCUCAGUGGAUACCUAAAAUUCUCUAAGGAGUUUCCCCCUGAUGAAGCAAUACUAAAAGGUAGUUCCGUCGGAAACGAUUGUGAUUGAGCUUCCUAGACUGGGAAA